Molecule: ribosomal RNA, 332 nt
Filed under: Aphodius sp. CLS-2009a
Lineage: Eukaryota; Metazoa; Arthropoda; Insecta; Coleoptera; Scarabaeidae
Also listed under: 1 other name
Description: eukaryotic LSU rRNA
Rfam family: Eukaryotic large subunit ribosomal RNA
Source: RNAcentral
GAAACACGGACCAAGGAGUCUAGCAUGUGCGCGAGUCAUUGGGACUAAACUAAACCUAAAGGCGCAAUGAAAGUGAAGGUUCGCCUCGCGCGAACCGAGGGAGGAUGGGUCUGGACACGGACAGACCCCGCACUCCCGGGGCGUCUCAUUCUCAUCGCGAGAAGAGGCGCACCCAGAGCGUACACGCUGGGACCCGAAAGAUGGUGAACUAUGCCUGGUCAGGACGAAGUCAGGGGAAACCCUGAUGGAGGUCCGUAGCGAUUCUGACGUGCAAAUCGAUCGUCGGAACUGGGUAUAGGGGCGAAAGACUAAUCGAACCAUCUAGUAGCUGG